GCACGGGUGAGUAACACGUAUGCAACCAACCCAUAACAGGGGGAUAACCCGGAGAAAUCCGGACUAAUACCGCAUAAGACCACGAUAUCGCAUGAUAUAGAGGUCAAAUAUUUAUAGGCUAUGGACGGGCAUGCGUCUGAUUAGCUGGUUGGCGGGGUAACGGCCCACCAAGGCAUCGAUCAGUAGGGGUUCUGAGAGGAAGGUCCCCCACAUUGGAACUGAGACACGGUCCAAACUCCUACGGGAGGCAGCAGUGAGGAAUAUUGGUCAAUGGGCGAAAGCCUGAACCAGCCAUGUCGCGUGAAGGAUGAAGGUCCUAUGGAUUGUAAACUUCUUUUGCAGGAGGGUAAAGUGAGCUACGUGUAGUUCAUUGCAAGUACCCUGCGAAUAAGCAUCGGCUAACUCCGUGCCAGCAGCCGCGGUAAUACGGAGGAUGCGAGCGUUAUCCGGAUUUAUUGGGUUUAAAG
RNAcentral lists this ribosomal RNA (467 nucleotides) under uncultured bacterium. RNAcentral describes it as "bacterial SSU rRNA". It matches the Rfam family "Bacterial small subunit ribosomal RNA", at positions 100 to 565 of the family's 1533-position model. The record is from RNAcentral.